This 1111-nucleotide long non-coding RNA is filed under the name Piliocolobus tephrosceles (Ugandan red Colobus). Its description in RNAcentral is "lncRNA (ENSPTEG00000013982.1)". The record is from RNAcentral. Lineage: Eukaryota; Metazoa; Chordata; Mammalia; Primates; Cercopithecidae.
AAUUAUUAUUGCACAUAGGUUAAGUACGAUUGCAUCAGCUGAAUUAAUUGUUCUUUUAAACAAAGGACGAAUAGUUGAAAGUGGAACACAUGAUUAUUUACUAAAAUUAAAUGGAGAAUACUCUGAAAUGUGGAAUAUGCAAUCAGGGCCGAAUGAUAUAUAUACAGAGGACGGACUUGCGUCUACUUAUGACAACAAAAGUGCAAAUGAAGGGCCAACAGAUAAUGACGAUGGUGCGAAUGUUACAAGUGCGAAUAGUGCUGCUACGAAUGGUGCUGCUACGAAUGGUGCUGCUACGAAUGGUGCUNNNNNNNNNNAUGGUGCUGCUACGAAUGGUGCUGCUACGAAUGGUGCUGCUACGAAUGGUGCUGCUACGAAUGGUGCUGCUACGAAUAGUACUGCUACGAAUAGUGCUGCUACGAAUGGUGCUGCUACGAAUGGUGCUGCUACAAAUAGUGCUGCUACAAAUAGUGCUGCUACAAAUAUCGUAUCGGAUACAGUUAAAUAUGACACAACUUCUAAUCAAAUAAAUAGCGCCUCAUACAAUCAGGAGGGACACAUGAAAAAUGACAAUGGAAGUGGAAGUGGACCUUACCGAGGUGCUGCUACUCAAUACGAUAACAGUAGCACUCGUCCUUACAUAGACAAUAAUUCUUUUAAUCAAAAUAAUAAUAUACACUCAUCAGGUAUUACUAGUAGCAUAUAUAUGGAUAAUCCUGAUACUCAUCAUAAAAAUCGAGGUAACGAAGAUAGGGCAAAAAAUGAUGCAAACAGUGCCGAAUCAAGCAAUAUGCAUUUUAAUAAUAAAAUAUUGAACAAUAAUAAUAAAAUAAUGAACAGUAAUAAUAAAAUAAUGAACAGUAAUAAUAAAAUAAUGAACAGUAAUAAUAAUAAUAAUAAUGUCGAUACGAUGCCUACUAAUAAUGUUAUUACAAAUGAAUAUGACAAUAGGGCAACUGAAGAUAAAACUUUAAUUAAAACUGAAGCCCACGUUAAUGACACCACAUGUGACAAUAUAAAUCGUGAUGAUACCAAUGAAGACAACAAUGCAAAAUUGUAAUAUCAAUACGAAUGAUUAUAAUCAUGAAUAAAGUAACAAAAGCUAUGAUCA